CCCUGUCACACUAGAGGCUGAAUGAGCUCGAAUCCCGUCCGAAUGAAAAUUUGACCCACAUUCAGGAAGUGUUGAGACACAUUCAAGGCUGUCAGA
Thalassophryne amazonica is the source of this 96-nucleotide long non-coding RNA. RefSeq lists it as uncharacterized. NCBI's taxonomy places the organism in Eukaryota, Metazoa, Chordata, Actinopteri, Batrachoidiformes, Batrachoididae. The record is from RefSeq and is a predicted model, not a curated record. The transcript has 3 exons.